This 705-nucleotide long non-coding RNA is filed under the name Ananas comosus (pineapple). RNAcentral describes it as "long non-coding RNA (ACOM_LNC018348)". The record is from RNAcentral. Lineage: Eukaryota; Viridiplantae; Streptophyta; Magnoliopsida; Poales; Bromeliaceae.
UUUCACUCUCUUUCGGAAAAUUUUUGAUUGUUCAUUUUAUGAAACCAAAAAGACUAAAUUAUAUAAAAACUUUCUAUCAAUACUCAUUUUUUUAUUUUCUUUUCUGUCAUUCAAAAAUCUAUACUUUACUUUCUUAAAAAAUAAAAAAUAUUUAUAAAAAUACGGUGUGAUAAAAUGACCAAAUUAUCCUCAUCUUCUUCUUCUCCUUCCCAAUCCUCGACUCUAGCUCCGAGUCCGUUUCCUCCAUCUGCUCCCCUGCUCCUCUAGCACCAUCGCAGUCCCUCUAUUUCGGCAACUGUAGGGAGGAGAUCGUGGUGGGCAGAGAGAUGGGCGAGGGCGAGGGCGAGACGGCGAAGAAGGGUGAGGCGGCAAAGGAGGACAAGGGUGAGUGCGCAAGGCAGCAGAGUAGGGCGAGGCGACACGGCUGAGGAUGUUGGUGGGGAACGAGGAUGAAGAUGAGAAUUUUAGAGAUAUUUUAGGUAUAAAAAAUAGGAUAUAAACGAAAUCCUAACAGAACAUUGACGGCGGAAACCGAAAUUAAUAUUUUUUAUUUUUUAAGGAGGCAAAGUAGGUUUUACGGUGACAAAAAAAGUAAAAAAGCGGAUAUUGAUUGAAAUUUUUUUUGUAAUUUAGCCAAGCGAAAUGUAGAUAUAAAUAUAAGUAUUUGAAAUAAAAUAUGGCAUUUUUUGACUCCUUAAGAAAUAU